RNAcentral lists this ribosomal RNA (428 nucleotides) under uncultured Oscillospiraceae bacterium. RNAcentral describes it as "bacterial SSU rRNA". It matches the Rfam family "Bacterial small subunit ribosomal RNA", at positions 958 to 1393 of the family's 1533-position model. The record is from RNAcentral. Lineage: Bacteria; Bacillati; Bacillota; Clostridia; Eubacteriales; Oscillospiraceae.
UUCGCGAAGAACCUUACCAGGUCUUGACAUCGUGCGCAUAGUAUAGAGAUAUAUGAAGUCCUUCGGGACGCAUAGACAGGUGGUGCAUGGUUGUCGUCAGCUCGUGUCGUGAGAUGUCGGGUUAAGUCCCUCAACGAGCGCAACCCUUACGAUUAGUUGCUACGCAAGAGCACUCUAAUAGGACUGCCGUUGACAAAACGGAGGAAGGUGGGGAUGACGUCAAAUCACCAUGCCCCUUAUGACCUGGGCUACACACGUACUACAAUGGUGAUCAACAGAGGGAAGCAAAGCGGCGACGCGGAGCAAAUCCCUAAAAGUCAUCUCAGUUCGGAUCGCAGGCUGCAACUCGCCUGCGUGAAGUUGGAAUUGCUAGUAAUCGCAGAUCAGAAUGCUGCGGUGAAUACGUUCCCGGGUCUUGUACACACCGA